This 416-nucleotide ribosomal RNA is filed under the name Euthlastoblatta sp. 2 DJGI-2006. RNAcentral's name for it is "partial 12S ribosomal RNA". Lineage: Eukaryota; Metazoa; Arthropoda; Insecta; Blattodea; Pseudophyllodromiidae. The record is from RNAcentral.
GGAUUAGAUACCCUAUUAUUUUUAAUGUAAAUUUUUUACUUGAGUAGUAUUAGAUUUUUCUUGAAACUUAAAGAAUUUGGCGGUAUUUUAUUCUUUUUAGAGGAAUCUGUUCUGUUAUCGAUAUUCCACGUUGAAUCUUUCUUAAAUUAUUAGUUUAUAUAUCGUCGUUGUUUGAUUAUUUUUUUAGGUUUUUAAUUUUCUUAAAUUAUGUUAUUAUAAAGUAUUUCAGAUCAAGGUGUAGCUUAUAUUUAAGUAGUAAUGGAUUACAAUAUUUUUUUAAUAUUAUGGAUUAUAAUUUAUAAUUGUUAUAUGAAAGUGGAUUUAAUAGUAAUUUUAUAAAGAUUAUUAACUUGAAAUUAGCACUAUAAUAUGUACAUAUUGCCCGUCGCUCUCGUUAAUUUAAGAUGAGAUAAGUC